CCCUUAGAUGUUCUGGGCCGCACGCGCGCUACACUGAUGAACGCAACGAGACCACCUGUACCGAAAGGCAUGGGUAAACUUGUGAAAGUUCAUCGUGAUGGGGAUAGAUUAUUGCAAUUAUUAAUCUUCAACGAGGAAUUCCUCGUAAGCGCGAGUCAUCAGCUCGCGUUGAUUACGUCCCUGCCCUUUGUACACACCGCCCGUCGCUCCUACCGAUUGAAUGGUCCGGUGAAAUCUUCGGAUUGCUGGAUAGGACUUCAUUGACCUAUCUGCGAGAAGUUGCUUGAACCUUAUCAUUUAGAGGAAGGAGAAGUCGUAACA
This 321-nucleotide ribosomal RNA is filed under the name uncultured eukaryote. Its description in RNAcentral is "partial 18S ribosomal RNA". It matches the Rfam family "Eukaryotic small subunit ribosomal RNA", at positions 1470 to 1796 of the family's 1831-position model. The record is from RNAcentral.